CAUGGAUGAUCUUUUGUGUUAGUAAUAAACAAAUCAGACAUAAACAAGUCAUAAACAGGAAAAUAUACAUCCAUUAAUAAUGUGCUUUGAUUAACGUAACAUGUAGUCGGCUAUAAAGACAAUGACAAUGUUUUUAAAUAUCGUUCUCUGCUAUAUUAAAAGACAAUGAAAAUGUUGAAUAACGUAGUGGGCUACUGGGCUUAUAUUCGGGGGACUUAUAUUUGGGUGUGCUUAUGUUCGGGGGGGGGCUUAUAUUUGGAAUGAAUUGAGCGUUAGUAUAUGUGGUGGGCUUAUAUUCCGGGGGCUUAUAUUCGAGGGGGGCUUAUAGUCGGGGGGGGGGGCUUAUAGCCGGAGGUUUACGGUAUAAUGACAGAGAUAAUUUUACCUAUCAUUGGGCUAUCAAUGGGAGAGUCCUGAGUAUUAAUAUUUAAGAGUGAAAAUAUUGAUUAUGAUAUAAUGUUCACAUUAUAAAAUCCCCAAACAUAAUUCUAUUUCUCAACCAUGUCAAAAGAUACACUAAACCUAAUUAAGUUCUUAUUGCAACAGAUUCUCAUUUUAAAGUAGAAUAAUUGCCACAUGUAGUGUUAAGGUGAGAUAGCACAUCUCUUAUCCAUCCAGGACAAAUGACCCAUUUGACACAGUUAACACUAUAAUGGGGGUAAUUUUUCUUUCUUAAAAUGGCAAUGUAUCGAUAUGAUUUUUCAAUGGCAAAAUGCAAUUGGACUGUACGGGCCAGUCUGUACUGGUCAGUGACUAAUUAUAUAGUUAAGCUAGGUGACACUUGCUCGAUGGCUUCCCUGUUAGAUACUGUACUCCUUUUGAAAAAUAUUAAUUGCUACAUGUAGUGUUAAGGUGAGAUGGCACACCUCUUAUCCGUCCUGGACAAAUGACCCAUUUGACACUAUUGUGACACUAUUGACCCAAAUGACCCAUUUGACACAUUAUAAUGAAGUAGUUUUUCAUUCUUGAAAUGGCGAUGUAUUUGACAUGAUUUUUCAAUGGCAAAAUGGAAUUGAACUGUAACAGUGAUUAAUUAUAUAGUUAAGGGGCACUUGCUCAAUGGCUACCCUCUGUUAUAUACUGUGCAUACUCCUUUUGAAGUAAUUAAAAUUGCUACAUGUAGUGUUAAGGUGAGAUGGCACAUCUCUUAUCCUAUCAUUGCAUGUGAUCAAUGCUUAUUUG
Paramuricea clavata is the source of this 1182-nucleotide non-coding RNA. NCBI's taxonomy places the organism in Eukaryota, Metazoa, Cnidaria, Anthozoa, Malacalcyonacea, Plexauridae. The record is from the annotation of a GenBank genome assembly.